This 275-nucleotide long non-coding RNA is filed under the name Ananas comosus (pineapple). RNAcentral describes it as "long non-coding RNA (ACOM_LNC032265)". The record is from RNAcentral. Lineage: Eukaryota; Viridiplantae; Streptophyta; Magnoliopsida; Poales; Bromeliaceae.
AUUUUCUCCCUUCAGAUAACUAACUAAAAAAUAAAUAAAAACAAAAAAAGACGAUAAGAGAUCAAGUUGGAUCGAGUCACGUUUGAAAUGGCAGGCGGUCGGGAUGGAUCGGGUCAUGUUCGAAGUAGUAUGUGAGACUGGUUGGAUCGAGUACUAAUCGGGAUCUAUCAGCGUUGUGUCUGUAUACUUUAAAUAAAUUGGUUGUAUAUUUCUAACCGCUCGAGUUUUUGGGACCGGCGGCAUCUACUUAAUCUAUUACAAAGUAAAGCUUAAAU